UACGGAGGGGGCUAGCGUUGUUCGGAAUUACUGGGCGUAAAGCGCACGUAGGCGGCUUUGUAAGUUAGAGGUGAAAGCCCGGGGCUCAACUCCGGAAUUGCCUUUAAGACUGCAUCGCUAGAAUUGUGGAGAGGUAAGUGGAAUUCCGAGUGUAGAGGUGAAAUUCGUAGAUAUUCGGAAGAACACCAGUGGCGAAGGCGACUUACUGGACACAUAUUGACGCUGAGGCGCGAAAGCUAGGGGAGCGAACAGG
Molecule: ribosomal RNA, 253 nt
Filed under: uncultured bacterium
Lineage: Bacteria
Description: partial 16S ribosomal RNA
Rfam family: Bacterial small subunit ribosomal RNA
Source: RNAcentral